This is a non-coding RNA of Ictidomys tridecemlineatus (thirteen-lined ground squirrel), 1299 nucleotides long. Lineage: Eukaryota; Metazoa; Chordata; Mammalia; Rodentia; Sciuridae. The record is from RefSeq and is a predicted model, not a curated record.
UCGGCCUUUUAACAGUGGCUUUCCAAGUUCUCGGGCCACAAAGCCCCUGCCAGAGCGCUGGUUCUUGACAUCAGCCUUCGCCAACCAACUGUGAGGCUGUAAGGAGGGGUCUGGCACCCUGUCCCCUGGCACCCAGGGCUCCUAGGCUGUGGUCUUUAUCUGGAGUUCAUUUGAAAGAACUUUUGGAGACACAUGAUCUCUCUCUGUCCUUCUAAAGACGCCCUUGAGAAGGAACAGCUACAGUGAGGCACCACACAUCUCCUCUAAAGUUUUCUGUGGGAAUUACAUGAGACAGUGGAUGUGAAGACACCCAGCACUGCCUUCCAUACAGAAGGUCACUUGUUGACUCCCAUUUCUGCCAUUUUGGUGCAUGACCUUGAGAAAGAUAAUAGAUAAGAUAAUCACCUUUGGGAUCCCACCAACGGAUAUAUGCAAAGCUCUCAAAACACCAUCGCACACGUGUGAACCACACAGCAUUGUCCGCCAGUGAUGAUCACAACCUGAGUGUGCCCUUCUAGUGCCCUGUGUGUUCCCAGCCUGGACGUCCUGUAGCCCAUCUUCCUGUCCUGCCCCCCACCCUCUGCAGUGCCUCCCCACUCAGCCUGGGUCGCACCCAAAGCCUGAGUCAUCUAUGAAAAUCACUGAUGAAGAGGCCACUGUAGCUGGUAUCCAGCUGUCCCGCUCUGCACCCAGCUCGGGGACUUCUGGGUACCCAUGUGCUCUGCCCGAGGAGCCUGAAUGCCCCCCACACUGCACUAAUACUCUGGCGUUGGGGUGUCUACUAACUCCCAUCUCCCCUGGAUGGCCAGGCCCACGGGUGUGGCUCUGCGGCCUGGUGGCCCACACUUCCCUGUGAGCUCUGGGGCCUCCUGAGAACCAUGAUGUUAACCUGAGGCUGUAAGGCAACAAGACCCCCAGGGAGAGGUGAUGUGGGGAGUCAGGAGUCGUCUCUCAUGGCUGGGCACAGGCUGGUGCCAGGGGGUGUGAUAUCACGGGGGGGGGGUUGCUGGGAACACCAAUUUGUCCCGGGUUAGUGGUGUUUAGAGGUAUUUGGCCCCACAGGCGUUGGCAGGAAGCUGUUUGCACACAUUCUUCCCUUGGGAACUAGGGCUUCAAGGUUGGGUCUGAAAGGGGCUUGUUUUCUGUCCCAGUCUCAUGCUGGGUAACUGUGGGGGCCUCCCCAGGAGGACGGUGUGAGACACACCUAAGAGUGUGUGUGUGUUCAAAGGUGUGUGGGCUGGAGCUGCGUAUCUGAAGUUUGUUGGAUGGUUUGCAAUAUAAACAGACUCAGUUUUCUUA